This is a long non-coding RNA of Cavia porcellus (domestic guinea pig), 2045 nucleotides long. RefSeq lists it as uncharacterized. The record is from RefSeq and is a predicted model, not a curated record. The transcript is spliced from 2 exons. NCBI's taxonomy places the organism in Eukaryota, Metazoa, Chordata, Mammalia, Rodentia, Caviidae.
GAGAAAGCCCACUUCACAAAGGAAGAGCGAAAGCCGGGGGAGGAAGGAGCUCGUCCUCGUCCUCGGUGGCUCGCAGAAGCAGGGAGCAGACGCGUGACACAGGCGCAGGCGAACGGGCGUGGGGCGGCAGGAAGCCGGGGCGAGACACAGGCGGGGCACAAAGAUAGUCAUGCAGACAGGCUUUUAAUUAGGCACAAGAAAAGACAAGACAAAACCAAAGCAAACAAAACAGAAGUCCCCACUAAAAUCAGCCCUGCACAGGAUGCUGGCCCUGGUUCCCACCCCCUGCACUAGGGAGUGGCGGGCAGCGCCACCGUGAUUCACCCGCCCUCGCUGGAGUCCUAACGUGUUUACAAGGACAUGGCGUCAGGUGCAAUUGUUUUGGAGCUGAAUCCUAGCUAGUUAUGUCUGUGUCUGUGUGAGACAGGCCCGGUUAUGUCACCAAAGCUGUAAUGGUUGGUGUGCCGUGAGCCGGCCUGUCCUCUUCCUGCCCCUGGAUGCUGUUUCCCCAGCGUGGACCCUUGCUGCAGAGCCCCUGGGUGCCCAGCCUAGCCAGGACGGCAUGGGUGAGAGAUGCUGCCACAGGUUCUCUUGUGGAAUACGAGCGUCUGGCAAACUGAAUUCCAGCAGCCUUAGCCCACCAGCAAGUGACCGGAAGUGACCCACGAGUGCAGAUAGCACGCAGGACUGGAAGGCCAAGGCCAAGGCCUUGCUCCAAGCCCUGGCUCUGGUGCAGUUUCCCCACUCAAAGCCUGUGCCCUUGCCACUUGCUGGUGGCCUCUUCCCGGGCAGGCCAGUCCUGGAGAGAAUGCUGACUGUGUAUAUCCCUCUCUUCCCGCCACGUUCCGGGGCUCCAGAGCCACUGCAAGUGCUUCAGAAUAAAGAAAUCAACACUUGGGAUGAAAAUGUGUUUGAAACAAUUCUAAACAAAAACGAAAACAAAACCAGAACACUGUUUUUCAGAGCAAGUUUUUUUUUUUUUUUUUACUCUCAAAGUAAAACAAAGUUUCAACGUUUAAGCUUUUAGGUAUAUUUACAGUUAAAUUACUACUUUAAAAAAAUUACCUUGCUACCUAAAAUAUAUUUAUGAAAGAUAAUAAGCUUUAGAUUAAAAUCUAACAGACACGUAUGUAUAUUCUGAUGUACAGCAUCAGCUUCUAAAUGGAAAUUACUAUUUCCAUCCAUAAAUAAUUUUAUAGUACUCAUACAUUUGCUUUAAUAAGGCUUUCACAAUAUACCUAAUUUUAUGUAAAUGUUAUUCACAUUUUCAUCCAAGAGUUUUGUAGGGGAGGUUAAAGGGUGUUUGUCUUGAUUCGUUAAAAUGUACCAUUAAAAUUAAGCAGAGAUAAAUAUUAUGACUUUUUAAAAUUGUUUUAAAUGGCUGUAUUUGUUUAUAAGAUUUGUGUCGAUGUGCAAUAUUUUAACUCUUUAAAUGUAACCUAAUUUGAUGAAUUGUUCAUAUAGGAGCUGUGAUCAGAAAAGAGAUCUAGUAAUUUCACGAAUUCAACAAUUAGCUUGUAUUCUUAGUAAUUCCCUCUUUAUGAGGACUCAGUGAAAUAAAAUGCUGUAUGCAAUACUUAAAAACCAAUGAGAGUGAACAUACAAAAAGAAAGUUAGAGAUUUUAUUUUCUAAAAUACUAAUUUGCAUGCAACUAUCAUGAUGCUUUGUGCUUAAAGUGUGUUUUUGUGCACAAAAUUUUAAUGUUUAAGGAGGCCAUAUAUUUAUUUAGAAUAAUUAUAGUAAGAAUAAAUGUUUAUUUAGAAUAAUUAUAAUAAGAAUAAAUGCAAAUUGACAAAGAAUAUUUCAUCAUUUCAUUUCAGUUUGUUUAAAAAUACUUCUGAAAAUGAUAUUUUAAAAAGCAAAGAGCCCAGAAAUGUCUCCCCAUCAGCACGGAACUAUUAUAUUCUUACAUGUUACUUAUUAAAAGUAAUCAGCAAGGCUAGAGCGUAGAUAAGGCAGGGCUCUAAAUGAAACCUUAGCCGAAAAUUCAAAAGUGCAUUUCAGAAUCAAGUAUUAAUAGAAUAAACUUAAUUUUAGUUUCUCA